RNAcentral lists this long non-coding RNA (207 nucleotides) under Elaeis guineensis (African oil palm). RNAcentral's name for it is "long non-coding RNA (EGUI_LNC034202)". The record is from RNAcentral. Lineage: Eukaryota; Viridiplantae; Streptophyta; Magnoliopsida; Arecales; Arecaceae.
CAUGCCCUAUUACUUAGUUGAUUGCAUGAUAAUGUUUACUUUUCUUAUGUUAGAUUAUGUCUGGUGGAGCCACUAAAGAAGAUGAGCAAAGUUGCCAGUAAAUAGAAGAGAAGGGCAAUUGGUUAUUGCUAGAACUCCUAAGUAGCAGUAUGUUGAAAGCUCUACUGAAACGAGGAAGAGGUCUAGGUAGGACAUACUAUCUAAGGA